CUUAUUUGAUAUAUGAGAAUAUAUAGAGAUUGUACCUUCGUUUUUUCGUUGGGAAACACAUGUCAAUAGAAGAUGUCUGUAAAAGUACACAUAACCAAAUAGUAAUGAAUAUUUGUUUAAGUUUUGUCCAAAUACAGUUAAUAUGCAAAUCUAGAGAACUGAUAUAAAUUCUCCCUUAAAAUAUGGAGAGAAAAAAAAAGCUAUCAGCUAAUGUUAACAAAACCAAAUUGGUAGUAACACCACCUAAUUAUGAGUGACGAAACUAGUUUUGGCUACCAUCACCUAAUUAUGGAUUCAAUUUAUCGAUAAACCAAUAAAAAAUAAUAUAUUUGAUUUAUCGAUAA
Molecule: long non-coding RNA, 344 nt
Filed under: Nicotiana benthamiana
Lineage: Eukaryota; Viridiplantae; Streptophyta; Magnoliopsida; Solanales; Solanaceae
Description: long non-coding RNA (NBEN_LNC031384)
Source: RNAcentral